UACGGAGGGGGCUAGCGUUGCUCGGAAUCAUUGGGCGUAAAGAGCACGUAGGCGGCUUAGCAAGUCGGAUGUGAAAUCCCUCGGCUCAACCGAGGACGUGCAUCCGAAACUGCGAGGCUUGAGUACAGAAGAGGAUCGCGGAAUUCCCGGUGUAGAGGUGAAAUUCGUAGAUAUCGGGAGGAACACCAGUGGCGAAGGCGGCGAUCUGGGCUGAUACUGACGCUGAGGUGCGAAAGCGUGGGUAGCAAACAGG
RNAcentral lists this ribosomal RNA (253 nucleotides) under uncultured bacterium. RNAcentral describes it as "partial 16S ribosomal RNA". It matches the Rfam family "Bacterial small subunit ribosomal RNA", at positions 524 to 776 of the family's 1533-position model. The record is from RNAcentral.